CCGUUACCCGCGGAGCAUGUUCUGCCCCGGGACAGUCAAUGAGCUGUGACGAGAGGGCAGCUGGGCUCUGGGGGUCACACAGGCAUCCAUGAAAAUAGUAUGGAUUAUUUUAAACCAUCAAACUGCAGCAUCCUCUAAGCACCGAACAGGCUGUGAGCUGCUGGGACUUCUGAGCAGCCGCCAGUCUCAGCGCUUCUCUGCAAGGACAGGGAGUGCAUGGUUACCAUAGGAACAAGACAGGCAAGAAAAGACUGUGGGAGAGAAUCUGCUUCACAGCUUGGAAAAAUACAUCUAAGUCACGUGUCUAAUAGGAUCUAUAAUAAAGGUGACAAUCUACACCUUAAAUGCACAUUGAUAGUGUUAACUCUGAAAAAGAGAGCAUUGGGAGCACAACACACAAUUACUGCCUUUUCCUUUAAAUGCAUCUGAUACCACUGCAAGGGAAAGUCUAUUCAGCGUCCUAUUACCAGUUGUACAUGGCUCCAAGAGUUUAAAAACCCUCGGAUCUAAAAAUAUGCUAAUUUGUGGUAUUAAAUUUUGUUUGAAGUAUGGUGCAGUAUUUGUUUGAAGUAUGUUAUUUAUGUUUGAAGAGACAGUCAGGUAGUUCUAACAUCCCACCCCCAUGUACAGGCACAUAAACACAUCCACAGAGUUUUUAACCAAAUCUAAUACAAACAGAAAUGUUUAUGAAAUUAAAAUUAUCAAGGAAACCACAUUUGUUCAGAUUUAAAUAUUCUAAGGAAAGGCUUGCAACCCAAACACUGAAGAACAGAUGAAGUCAGGCGAGCCAAAACGUAAAGAUGACUAGUCUAUUUUCGUUGUCCUUACAGUGAAAUGCACAAAAUAAACAAACACCAAUAGCAAAAAAAAAACAAAUUAGGAUUUUCAAGUUUCGUUAAUCCAUGUUGCUGUUGAUAAAAUUGGAUUUUUUUUAGAAUUAUUUUUAACUGAUGUAUUUAAAACAAAAUGAA
This is a long non-coding RNA of Mauremys reevesii (Reeves's turtle), 971 nucleotides long. RefSeq lists it as uncharacterized. Lineage: Eukaryota; Metazoa; Chordata; Testudines; Geoemydidae. The record is from RefSeq and is a predicted model, not a curated record. The transcript has 3 exons.